AACGAACGCUGGCGGCAGGCCUAACACAUGCAAGUCGAGCGAGGACUUCGGUCCUAGCGGCGGACGGGUGGGUAACGCGUGGGAACGUGCCCUUUGCUUCGGAAUAGCCCUGGGAAACUGGGAGUAAUACCGGAUGAGCCCUUUGGGGGAAAGAUUUAUCGGCGAAGGAUCGGCCCGCGUUGGAUUAGGUAGUUGGUGGGGUAAUGGCCUACCAAGCCGACGAUCCAUAGCUGGUUUGAGAGGAUGAUCAGCCACACUGGGACUGAGACACGGCCCAGACUCCUACGGGAGGCAGCAGUGGGGAAUCUUAGACAAGGGGGGAAACCCUGAUCUAGCCAUGCCGCGUGAGCGAUGAAGGCCUUAGGGUUGUAAAGCUCUUUCAGCUGGGAAGAUAAUGACGGUACCAGCAGAAGAAGCCCCGGCUAACUCCGUG
This 433-nucleotide ribosomal RNA is filed under the name uncultured bacterium. Its description in RNAcentral is "partial 16S ribosomal RNA". It matches the Rfam family "Bacterial small subunit ribosomal RNA", at positions 29 to 507 of the family's 1533-position model. The record is from RNAcentral.